RNAcentral lists this long non-coding RNA (1318 nucleotides) under Mytilus galloprovincialis (Mediterranean mussel). Lineage: Eukaryota; Metazoa; Mollusca; Bivalvia; Mytilida; Mytilidae. The record is from RNAcentral.
AAGCGUUUUAGUGAUCGUCAGUCAUUGUACAGGAUAAACUGUAAGUUAUAUUUGUUCCGUAGGUACUUUACGACAAUUCCCUAAUGAUAGAUUGUCAAAUUAAUUUGUAGAAUAAUUCGUGUAAUAUAGCAUCAUAUUUUUCUAACCACUCACUCAACAUGGGAACGGAACUGACGAUGCCCCUAAACGCACGAAUGAUGUUCAAUAAAACCAAAUUGUUUGACGUAAAUGCAUCGAACUCGAAAGUUGUCUUUUGAUACUUGUCUUGGAAAAUAUAACACAUUGUUGGAUCGUUUUCAUGGAAUGUCGAAUUGCUGUGACAUAUCUGAUCACUCAUUGAAACCUAUCCUUUCAUGGUAUAGAUAACUUAAAGUGAUACCUAACACUACAGGGAUAUAACUCUGUAAAGUCAGCUUAACAUUUUAAUUGCGUUGUGUUGUAAAGGGAAUAUUAAGCUUCUCAAUGGUCAAAAUUGGUGUUUGUUAAACUGCUAUAUAACCAAUGUAAUUUUUCUAACAAAACGGUUGGUUCAAAAUUUUUGAAAUUUUUAUAUUUCUGUUAAAGGGUCAAAGUAAAUACUUUGACAAAAUGUAAUGAAAAUUAAACGAGCCAAAUUUAUAAUAAGUUACCAAAAUGAUAACUGAACUGUUGGAAGCCGAUAUUAUUGAAACAUAAAAUUAUUUCUGCACAUCAUACCGCGCAUAUAAAGCCUAAACAAAUGGUCAUCCACCUUUAUAAAUCAGUCUAGAUUGAUCAAUGAUUGCACAAUUGCUUAAUUAUAUCAAGUUGGCACACAUGGCAUUUCUGGGUAGACAUUUCAUAGAGUUCAUGUUCAUAACACGGUAUCGAUUAGAUGCAAUUAUAAAACGCAUUAUUAUAGAAUAUAAGUAUUAAGAAUAUAUAUCUAAUUCCAUAGUUGUAUAUGUAUACUUAGUUUCAGAAAUAAUACGAACAGUUGUGCUGGUAUAUAGUAUAUUGGCUACAGUACCAAAGAUUAUGAAGGAAAUGCAUAUAUUUCAACGUAAGUGUAGUAAUAUUUAACGUUUGUUAAUAUUAUUCACAGAUGCUGUUGUACAACUACCAGGCUUCGAGGGAGAACCACAUACACAUAGGCAAUGACGAAUGUUUCAUGUAUGGAAUUUUCUAAUAUUGUAGAUAAACCAUGAGUUAUUGGAUCAUUCGUAAACGACAACGUAAACUGUACAUUUGGUCACUUAGUACAUCAUUUCCCGGGAUGAAAUCCAGAAGACACCAGAUGGUUUUGAUUCACUUCAAUGUAAUAUUAAAGAAAAUAAAGAAUAUGCAUAAUAAACAGGAA